This 339-nucleotide unclassified non-coding RNA is filed under the name soil metagenome. RNAcentral's name for it is "partial contains 5.8S ribosomal RNA, internal transcribed spacer 2, and large subunit ribosomal RNA". The stretch from base 1 to 120 matches the Rfam family "5.8S ribosomal RNA", at positions 35 to 154 of the family's 154-position model. The record is from RNAcentral.
GAUGAAGAACGUAGCGAAAUGCGAUACGUAGUGUGAAUUGCAGAAUUCAGUGAAUCAUCGAAUCUUUGAACGCACAUUGCACCUCUCGGUAUUCCGGGAGGUAUGCCUGUUCGAGCGUCAUUUGUACCCUCAAGCUCUGCUUGGUGUUGGGUGUUUGUUCCGCCUAUGUGUGUGAACUCGCCUCAAAACAAUUGGCAGCCGGCGUACUUGUUUCGGAGCGCAGCACAUUUUGCGAUCCAGAUCAACGUACAGCGGCAUCCAAGAAGCCUUAUUUAACGCUCUUGACCUCGGAUCAGGUAGGGAUACCCGCUGAACUUAAGCAUAUCAAUAAGCGGAGGA